AUAUGAUGAGAUGCAGCUGGCACCAGUCAGAGGGAUGAUGGAUACGUCUGUCAUCCACUUGCUGAGUAGCUUUACGGCCGGCAAAUAUACGCAGCUGGUCCUGAA
This is a small nucleolar RNA of Penicillium oxalicum 114-2, 105 nucleotides long. It matches the Rfam family "A. fumigatus snoRNA Afu_190". The record is from Rfam. Lineage: Eukaryota; Fungi; Ascomycota; Eurotiomycetes; Eurotiales; Aspergillaceae.